RNAcentral lists this transfer RNA (72 nucleotides) under Salmonella enterica subsp. enterica serovar Cerro. RNAcentral describes it as "tRNA-Sec". It matches the Rfam family "tRNA". From Rfam's summary of the family: Transfer RNA (tRNA) molecules are approximately 80 nucleotides in length. The record is from RNAcentral. Lineage: Bacteria; Pseudomonadati; Pseudomonadota; Gammaproteobacteria; Enterobacterales; Enterobacteriaceae.
GUGGUUAUCGUAUAAUGUUAUUACCUCAGUGUCAGGCUGAUGAUGUGGGUUCGAUUCCCACUAACCACUUCA